ACUCCCAAAUCAACCUCUUACACCAACUUCUGAUAGCUCCUUGUCAUUUAAUUUUCCAUACCCCAAAGGACAGGAGUUUGUCUUGAGACCCAUAUACCUCGAGCCCGACCACGAAGCCAGGCCAGGCAGGAGGGAGCCAGCUUUGUUCCCCUUCCUGCAUCUUCCACAGGCCAUCAUCUUGCCACGUUUGUCUCUUCAGGGCCUGACCUGAGUGAACAUGACAAUGGUAAUGUGUGUUUUCUGAGACUUGUGGCGGGGAGAUUGUGGGCGUAGGUAAAGCUCAGCUGCUCUCCUUGGUGCGGGGGCAAAGGCACUGCUCCCCACCCUCCAUCUGCCCCAGCCCGGGGAAUCCAGUCCUUGGGCAACCCGGGAGAGAAGCACCCGCUGCCCCCCAGCCCUUGCUGGCAUCUUGCUGCUCUGGCUCUACUUCUCAGGGUUGAGGCCCUGACUAUGGGAUGCUGGGGGCAAGGCUGGGGGAGAAGGAGACUUUUGGAAUUUGGUUUCAGUGGAGGGAGCGGCAGCUGAAGGGGCACUUGGUGGGGGGAGACAGAUGCUCAGAGCCGGGAAUAACGAUGUACCCCAGAAAGGUGCUACCUGCCCCCAUCCACGUGACCUUGGGAUCAGAGAGGAAACUGAGCUGGGACACAUGCAUCCCUAUGUUCAGAGCCUGGAGGCACCACUGCCUGGAGCUCCAGUGCUAGAGGCAACUCCCCUCCCCAAUUCUCGUGGCCACAUGGGGCCUUGGGUCCUGUUUCUGUCCACUCCCCUUCUGCAUCAUUUCUGGGGGCUUGUGGAGGAUGGCUGGGAUAAGUGGAGCCUGUUUAGAGGAUUUUGCUUGACCACCCCUGGGUCACCCCCAUGAAAGGGGAUGCGCUAUUGGGGCGCAGUGACUGUACCACCGGCUCUGUCAACACCCACUGGGAAAUGUCUGCAUGAGACCUUGGCACUGGGGGAGCAGACCCCACCCAGAAAAAACCCCCAGGGGGAGCAGGGAGGACUGACCUCUGUACCUCACUGUGUAUGGCUGAACUGUCGGAAGCAGGUCUUCCUCUUCAGCACCUGGGGUGGGAAGGAGGGGCUCAGGCCCAGCUCCCUGGCUGGCAGCCCCUCAGCUCAGCUUUAUUCAGGGGGUCAAGGGCCCAGCCUGCCUCCCAAGAAGGAGCCCCAGGCCCAGUCAGCUACUCACCAGGACAAGGGCGAGUGCGGUGAGCAGGAAGCCCAGAACGAGGAGAACCACAGCAUAGCUGGGGAGGGUGAUGCCAGGCUGACCUGAGGUUCAGAACAAAACAGGGAGUUGAUGGCUGGGGUGGCUCCCCACCCCUCUAGACCACAAACCCCUGAGAAGGCAAAGUCAGGCCUGCAGAACUGUCUUGGGCGAGGGAUCCUGGCCCACAAUCUACUGUAGGAGCAGAGCUCUGGAGCUGGGGCCACCUUGGGGGGCUUCCUGGAAGAGGCAGCAUUGUCAGAGGACAGAGAUGGAGGGAAGCAGGGAGAGGGGCACUGACCAAGGUCUGGGUUGAUCACCUCCAGCAAGAGGCCCUCAGCUUCCUGCAGGGCGGGCAGAGCCUGGAGCACGCAGUCCUGCACGAGGGCUCGGACCGGCGCGGCCCUGAAGAAGGUGGCACCCACCCAGGCAGUCAGGGUGUUGGGCCUGGCAGGAGGAUCACAAUGGAUGUCAGGGGGGCUAACCGGCCAGGGGGGCUCUCAGAAGGUCAUUUCUCUGAGCCUCUGGCCUCACCCCAGAGUCCAUCCCUGAGCUACCCCGGACUUACUGGAAUUUCACCACCACUUGGCCAAAGUUCUGCAGUGGUCUGAGGACAGCAGUCAGCUAGGGGUCAGGAGAGGACAAAGAGGGUCACAGCUCCACUGAAGCCUCAUCGGGUCCCCUCCACGACUCCUUCUGCUCCUCCCUUCCCUUCCUCCCCAACCCUCACUUCACCCAUCUCGUCAGGUUCCCCUGAAGGUUCCAGAACUUAGGGCUGGUUUUGUCCUUCCAGGCCUUGUUGAAGGGCUGGUCCACAAUCUGCAGCCACACCUCAUACAGCACCAGCUCUGCCUUCUCCCCUAGAGUGAUGGGGAGGGGCCAUCAGCCUAAGCCUCCCUCCUGGGACCCUUGGGAUAAGGCUGAGCCCCGACCCAGGGCUGCACGCCCCAAGCUUGAAUGCUCUUGGCCAGCAGUCAGCCAAAUCCAGUCUGAGGUUCAAUCCAGCCCCAGCGCCUGUUUAUGGACAGCCCAGGAGGCUCUACAUCCAGUUCCUCUCUGUAGCCCCAGCACACAAGAAUUUGUGGUUGAUAUGAAAUUCUGUCCAUUCUCCAGAGGAGGAACACUGAGACCCAGAGAGUGUAAGAGGCUGCAGGCCAAAGACACACAGGGAUCCCGGCCCUGACUCACCAUUGGCCGUGAUGCUGGAUUUCUGGACUGCAGGAUCCAUUAUGUUCUGGGCCAGGUGAUUGGCCAAGCCUUGGAGAAGGACAAAGGGGGCAGAGCCGGGCAGGAGGAGCAGGGGCUGGAAGGGCCUCAUGGCAGUGAAUUGGAUGGUGAUGGUCUCCAGGGCCAGGUCACUCAGGUUGGAUCCUGUGGAACCACAGGUGGGCGUUCAGGAGGGCUCGGGAGCCUCCUCACCCACCACACCCCGUCUCAUGGUGGGGCCGGAGCUGGGCCCCUCUAGGAGAACCCCCAGCCUUCCCCGGGGGUGGGGGAAGAGGCACUGAGGUGGGUGUGGGGGCAGGCGGGGCAGAGACUCACCGUCAGAGGCCAGGCUGCUCCCAUCCAGGGACAGGUUCCCCAACAUCUGCCCUGCGGCCUUGACCUUGCGGUAUAGAGUCCAUAGGACGUCACGGGCUGAGGGCCCCGGGGCCUGGCCCCCAAACACAAGGGAGGCAUUCACGGCCACAGUUCCAGGCCUAUGGACAGACACACAUCCUCACCGUGGCACGCCCUGGGGGCUGGAAGGGGACCUGGCUGCUACACAAGUUGGCCAGUGUCCCGAGGGGAGUCCACCGGGGAAGCCACCGACUGAUUCCCCGUGUGAUGUCACCCCUGAGCCUCAGCUGCCCCCUCGAUAAAAUGGGGAUAACGACUGUCUUGUUGUAGGGGUGGCAUGAGGACUAAUGGUGCAGCCAGCAGAACAGGAGCCAGGUGCUCGGGGAAAGCAAAGUCCCUCGGUCACCCCUGCAAACUGGCAUUAAUGUGAACACAGGGAAUGCCAGCCAGGAAGACCAUAGCUGUGAGCAAUCACGAAGUUGCCUGAGCCACACUGAGAAAAACCUCUUUGGUGGCAUCACAAGAAGCAGGGGGUCUGGCAAGAGGGAGGUGACAGGCCUAAGGAGUUUCUGAACGCCUGGGGGAGGGAGACCGAUGGGCCAUGUCCUGUGGCGGCAGCCUGGCCUGAGCACAGGGUUGAAGGAGUUUGCGGGGAGAAACCUGAAAACAAGCAGGCUUAGGAUCCAGAAUCACUUUCCUGUAUCCUUUCCCAGAGUACCUGUUCUGUGCUAUGCCAUCCUGGGGCUGGGGAGCCAAAGCUUCUGUUCAGACUCAGGGCAGGGAAUUCAGAGAGGGAGAUUUCAGUUCCUUAUAAGGGGAAACUUCCUGGGAGUUUCCUGGUAAAACGGUGGGUUAAGGAUCAGGCGUUCUCAUGGCUGUGGCUCAGGUCAUUGCUAUGAAAAAGGCUGGGUUGGGGCAGGGAGGCCUUUCUAACAAGCUGGGAUCAAGGCCUGGAAAGAUCGUGGUGGUGAACUUCCCAUCACUAGGCAUAAUCAAGCUUCUAAAUUUCUGCACUGGGAGGGAUCUGCCGAUAGGACUCAAAGUCUACACUGAGUUCAACUCAAGCGGGGCUGUGAUGAUUUGGGCCUUUUGACCUUUUAUCUGAGACUGCAGGGCUAGCAGUGCCAGCACAUCUGGCUUUAGGUCCCCACCCCCCAACAUCCCCAGAGGCUCAGAACCAGAAAGGGCCCCACCCCCAGCAGAUUUGCAUCAGUUUACAUGUCAUUUCUGGGCUCCUGGCCCAGGGAAGUGUCCCCUUCUUUCCCCAUCACACCCAGACAAUGCCUAGCAUCCCUGCUCAAAUUCUGCAGCUGGAAUUGGAGCUCAGAGCAGGCAAGAGGUCACCUGAGGUCACACAGCCAGGGGCAGAAGCAGAAGUGGGCCUCCUGCCUGCCCAUGCAGGGAUCUUCCUGACUCCCACAGAGUUUCUGGCCAUGGUGGGGCUGGGCAGGGCUGGGUGACUGGUCUUGUGGCCUGAGAAGGCACAGAACGGCUGGCAGGCAGGGGCUGGACCCUGAGAGAUGCACUCACUCACCUUAAGAGCAGGACGCUGACGCCCUCAAAACUGGAGAAGGCCUCGUGAUAGAUGGAUUGGAGCUGAGGACAGACAGACGUACUUGAGAGUCAGCAGGUGCCGCCCCUCACUUCUCAGUAUCAGCUCACUCUCGUCAUCAUCUCUCCUCUGGCCCCUGCUUUGGUUUUCUCAGUGACACCGUGGGCUUCCCAGGGCCACCCACACCUUCCCAGCAUGGCUGCCGGAAACUACCUGCCAGUCGCCCUCUACUGAAAACCGCAGGGCAGCUCCAACUGUCCAGGAAACAGCCUUCCUAGGCCUUUCCUUCUCUGCAGUUUUACUGCUAAUUGCUCUCCAGUCCAGUUGUCCUGCUGACUGCCAUCUCCCCUGGACGACAGCCCCUCCUCUUGUCUCUCUGCAGUCCCCCUCCUACCCUGCGCCUCAGCCUCUGCCCACCUUUUCCUCGCACGUGCUGUUCCCACUGUCUAGAAAGCCCUUCCCUGUUUCAUCGACUACCUUCUCUCCAUCCCCGUUAAAAUUCCCCUAUCUCAGAAAGGCGUGCUCUGGGGAGUUCCUGCUGUGGCUCAGCAGUAAUUAACCCAACUAGUA
Phacochoerus africanus (Common warthog) is the source of this 4886-nucleotide long non-coding RNA. RefSeq lists it as uncharacterized. The transcript has 3 exons. Lineage: Eukaryota; Metazoa; Chordata; Mammalia; Artiodactyla; Suidae. The record is from RefSeq and is a predicted model, not a curated record.